RNAcentral lists this ribosomal RNA (487 nucleotides) under Megascolecidae sp. SC201704-01. RNAcentral describes it as "partial large subunit ribosomal RNA". It matches the Rfam family "Bacterial large subunit ribosomal RNA", at positions 1814 to 2601 of the family's 2925-position model. The record is from RNAcentral. Lineage: Eukaryota; Metazoa; Annelida; Clitellata; Crassiclitellata; Megascolecidae.
CAUUGUCCCAUGAAACAAAUAUGGGAUAAUACCUGCCCAGUGACAAAAUUCAACGGCCGCGGUAUCCUAACCGUGCAAAGGUAGCAUAAUCACUUGCCUAUUAAUUGUAGGCUAGAAUGAAGGGGUUAACGAAAUAAAGACUGUCUCAAUUAAUUAACUAAAAAUUAUUUUCUACCUGAAGAAAGGUAGAUAGACUCGAAGGACAAGAAGACCCUAUAGAGCUUAAUUUUAAUUAUAGAACUCCACUAUAAAAAUAUUGGGUUGGGGCGACCCAGGGCUAAACAAUCACCCACCACAUAAAAGAUAAAUUAAUCAAUCAAGUGACCCUUCAAAGAUCAUUAGACUAAGCUACCUUAGGGAUAACAGGCUAAUCCCACUCAAGAGUCCUUAUCAACAGUGGGGCUUGGCACCUCGAUGUUGGCUUAGGAUAUCUAUAUAGCGCAAAAGCUAUAUAAAGAUGGUUUGUUCAACCAACAAUUUCCUACGU